CCACAGUAGUAAUGGCGACAUCUUGGUCUUAAAAAGCGGCUACGUUUCUACUCAGUUUGCGUCUCUAUCGGACACAUGUAACCACAGGUAUGGUAGGUGGCUCCCAGAUUCUACUGUGAGCAACAAUUAGCAGCAGCAGGAGACGUCUCCAAUGCCACCACUAAUCAUUGCUUUCCGAGGACCGCUGCCACCGGAGAUGGAUCAGCUCCCUGUUACUACUCCGUGUUCGUUCCUGAAACACUAUGCAUCUAUCUGAGUUAUCUAUUAGAGAUCCAAGUGCAGAAUAACCUUGCAUUUGCAGGUUGCAGUAGUACCUGCCAGUUGCCACUGUGCCAUCUGAUAAUGAUGUCAGACAUAUAGAAGCUCCAGUACUCUUUUGAGUUCCUAUCUUGGCAGAAGAAGGAUUUUGCAGUAAGGUAGAAGCUGUAGCUGGCGAAGACGACUGCACGAGCUUCCUUUUCAUCCCAUUCUCUGUGAUAAGGAAGCUAAUGUCAGUGAUGCGUGAGCUCCUGUUGCGGAAUGUGGUAUGAAGUAUGAUGCUCAACAUGGACAGCAAAAGAACGAGGUUAGGAAAGAGAGGAAGGGGGGGGGGGGUGGAGUGGAGGGGUCUGUCUUAACCACUGCCUUGUCUGCUAAAUCUCACAAAUCUCUUCCGUGUGGCUAAAGCACGGGAGAAGUGAAGAGAAGGAGCAUAGGGACCAUACGCGAGUCAGAGGCCAAACUCUGCAGGCGAAGUAAUAGCAGACGGUGGCGUUGCAGUCGAAGAGCUGUUCUCGUCGUCGGAAAUGGAGGCAGUCGGUGGCAGGGAGCUGCAACCUUGAAGAACUACAAGUGAGGGGAAGAAAGCUCUUGCUAUAAGAGGAGAAGCGGAGGAGGAGGGUUAGCACUCCAAUCAUUUGAUUUAAGCAUGGACGCCUACGAGGCGACGAGGAUAGUGUUCUCCAGGAUCCAGAACCUGGACCCGGAGCACGCCCCCAAGAUCAUGGGGUUGCUCCUGCUGCAGGAGCACGGCGAGAAGGAGAUGAUUCGCUUGGCCUUCGGCCCCGAGUCACUCCUGCGCUCCCUCGUCUUGAAAGCUUGGAAGGAACUCGGCCUCGUCCCGGACCCGAGCUCCUCUGCCCCCUGCACGCCAUUCGGCGGCGGCAGUUCGGCUUCCCCCUUCCUCCUCCGCCAGAACUCCGCCUCCCGCCUUCCCGCAAGGGGGCUCCCGUCGCCGCUCGCUGUCUCCUCCCCGUCCUCAUGGCGCUCCGACAGCAGUAGCGGCUGCAACGGUCUGAAUGGGUCGUCGGACGAAUUCCAGAACUCGGACGAGCUCAUGAGCCCCGGUAAUCUCAGAGCGUCACCCUUCUAUGGCGUCGGUGGCGACGGUGGGGACCUAAUUGAUGAGUUUCAUCGCUCGGACCAGCUUUCCUUCCUCAGCGACGCCGCCGCCGCCGCCGCCGCCUCUGAUUACAGCUACCCCCUUUCUUUCGCCUCGAAGCACGUAGGCGACGUGUUUCAACCGGACCUCGAGUGUCGGAGCCCCAGCAGCAACGGCGAUUGUACGCUCUUCCCUUACGGGGUGGGCUCGGGAGUCGACGGCUACUACCACCGUCGGAGCUGCUCCGCCGCGGACCUCGGCCUCGGUGAUCCCGCUGCCGGGUUCGGAUGGAGGCCGUGCCUCUACUUUGCUAGGGGCUACUGCAAGAAUGGUACUGCGUGCCGGUUCCUCCAUGGGCUCCCAGAGGAAGCUGUGGUCGCGCCCUCCGUGGUCGGCGGCACCAAGAUGGAUGCGGUGUUGGAGCAGCAGUGCCAGGAGCUGCUAUUAAGGUCUAAGAGCCAGAGGAUCGAUGGCGUUUCACAGCUCAUGGCCUCUGCGUUUCCAUACUCCCAGACGGGCUCAGUGCCACCAUCUCCGUCGUUGUCCUCCAGCAAUUCCCUGAGCUUCUUGCUUCAGCAGCAGCAGCAAAAUGAGAGCCAAAGGGCUACAGCUGUGGCGGCGGCAGCAGCACUGAUGCUGGGGGGGGAUGAUACCCACAAGUUUGUCUGCAGAUCAAGAUUCGAAAGAAACGAUUUGAUGGCAAAUCCUGGUUCGAGGCAGAUCUACUUGACCUUCCCAGCUGACAGCAUCUUCAGCGAGGAGGAUGUCUCUAACUACUUUAGCAUCUAUGGGCCUGUGCACGACGUGAGGAUCCCUUACCAGCAGAAGAGGAUGUUUGGCUUCGUGACCUUCGUCUACCCGGAGACUGUGAAGCUGAUCUUGGCUAAGGGCAACCCGCACUUCGUAUGUGAUUCCCGAGUUCUUGUCAAGCCCUACAAGGAGAAGGGAAAAGUCCCCGACAAGUACAGGAAACAGCAGCAGCAUGCUGAGAGAGGAGGUGAUUUCUCUAUGUGCAUGUCUCCCACAGCCUUGGACGCUACCGAAGCCUAUGACCUUCAACAGCUUGGAGCAAGGAGGUUGUACAACGGCAGCAGUCAGGAACUACUGCUGAGAAGGAAGCUAAUGGAGCAGCAGCAACAAGCAGCAGAACUGCAGCGAGCCAUUGAGCUGCAAGGGAGUCGAUUUAUGAAUCUCCAGCUCAAUCUCAACAAAAGUGGCCUCUCCAACUCCCCCGCUAUCGCAGUCACUCAAUCACUUAGUGAUGUUGAUAGGAGCAGUAAUACCAGCAGUAGUAGCAGCAGUAGCCAUGAAGGAUCACCAACAGAGGAAAAGAGCCUCGGUGCCGUGUUACCAGAAGAGAAGCCCAACAGUUCCGAUGGGUUACUCCAGCAGAAGGCAGAUAAGGAGGAAUCUGCUGGUGAGCCGAACCCCAAAGAAGACGGUGAUUUCCAACCAAGCAUUGAGCAUAACCUGCCUGAUAGCCCAUUUGCUUCCCCGACAAAAUCCUCAUCCAUGCUCGACUCUUUCACUGCCAGUGAAGACGUGGCUACUUCAUACAUUGUGAACAACAGCAGCACCAAGGACUACUUACUUGCCUCCACAUUGCUGCCCACCACUUUGUCUCUAGACAUGCCUUCCUUCAGCUCAUGCUUCUUCCAGAUGCCAAGCAGGUUCUCUGGUCAAGGAGAAAUUGGAAUGUAGACCUGAAGAAUCCCAGUGGAGUGAUCGAGGCCUCCCCUUAAAGGUAUCUCCUAGUAAAGCAAAAGGAUAGUGGAACAUAAGAAAAGAGAAGCUGCAGAAUGGUUCAAGGUUUAUGGUUCCCCCCUUUUUUUUCUAAUUUUUUCCUUAUAGUUUCUAAGUGUAAGCAUUAUAGGAAGGUCUUCCAGUGUCACCUCACAUUCCCUUAUCUACAGAAAAUUAGAGAAUUAUGACAAGGAAUAGCUGCCAUCUAUGAGCAAUCAAUCAGCCAAUACACCAGCCAUACAUCCCUACCUCUGAUAUUGCUAUUGCCACCAACUAAUACUAUCUAUAGCUACCCAUCACAACCCACCAAGAUAUAUAAUAAUCUACUACACAGAAUACAGACGACGACAAAGAACAUGACAUAAAGCCAGACUGAUUACUGUGACGGAAUAGGUCAGCAGGAAAAAAAAGAGCAGCAGAGAUGAUGGACUACUUCCAAGUCAGGGUGUAUGGGGAGCAAAAGAGAAGAGUUGGAAGUUGUGCAUGCCUGCAAGCGUUCGUGUUCCUCCUUGAUGCCUUGGGAGCAGGGAGGGAAAAAUGAAGGACCAGGGUGCAGACUCUGUGAUGUCACUAUUUCGAAACAGGAUGAGAUAAAGAGUUGGCAGUAUGAGUGGAUAAGCUCUUAGGCCAACAUAGAGGUGACUCCAAAGGCAAGCAUUCAACCAGCUAUAGCUGUGGAUCCUCCACACAUGAGAUAGAGACCUGUCUCUGUUUUAGAUCCAUUUUCCAUGUGGGCAUGAGAUUUCAUCUCCUACACAAUCUAUGCAUUCUGAAUUAGCCUUGCA
Molecule: RNA transcript, 3888 nt
Organism: Musa acuminata AAA Group (dessert banana)
Lineage: Eukaryota; Viridiplantae; Streptophyta; Magnoliopsida; Zingiberales; Musaceae
Gene name: zinc finger CCCH domain-containing protein 53
Exons: 12
Source: RefSeq, a predicted model, not a curated record